AUGCUUACUUUGGCAGCACAUAUACUAAAAUUGGAAUGAUACAGAGAAGAUUAGAAUGGACCCUGUUCAAGGAUGAAACUCAAAUUCAUGAAAUGCUCCAAAUAUUU
Phodopus roborovskii (desert hamster) is the source of this 107-nucleotide small nuclear RNA. The record is from RefSeq and is a predicted model, not a curated record. Lineage: Eukaryota; Metazoa; Chordata; Mammalia; Rodentia; Cricetidae.